UCCGCCCUUAGGCGCUGAGUAGAGGUGAACAGUAUCUCUUCACGGAGUGAAGUGAAAUGGCUGCUUGUCAUGCAUGUCAAUCGCAGUUCUAAAGUCAAGAAAGUAAGUGAGAAAUACUAUAUUAAUUAUUGAAAUGCAUAGUUUGAAACAUCGUUAACAGGAAAGUGUUAUUUAAAUAGUUCUAAUCGCGUUUAUAUUGACUCUAAGGAUUAAAUGAGAAGUUGAGCUGAUUCAUCUGACGAAAACGGCAUAAAACAGAUUUCCUUGAUACAUCGAGAUUAUUUCUGAUCGUUAUCAAUUUAUUCUUGGACUCUGCUAACUUCUACUUACCAGUAUCCAGCGUGGUGACUCCUAGUGUCUCCUCAUCUCCUGUGAGUGUCAUCGUGUCUCGUCUGCUCCAUGCCUGCCUGCUUCCACGAUCCCUGGGAAAGAUAAAGACAAGUAUCAGAUCCAGUAUCAUCUUCAGUCACAAACUUAACCUGCUUCUACUCACCUGCACUCUGCCAUCGAUCUUUUGUUGUUCAAUAAACUGCAUAUUAACUAUA
Molecule: long non-coding RNA, 545 nt
Organism: Megalobrama amblycephala (Wuchang bream)
Lineage: Eukaryota; Metazoa; Chordata; Actinopteri; Cypriniformes; Xenocyprididae
Exons: 2
Source: RefSeq, a predicted model, not a curated record